RNAcentral lists this ribosomal RNA (143 nucleotides) under Phaeoacremonium sicilianum. Its description in RNAcentral is "partial 18S ribosomal RNA". It matches the Rfam family "Eukaryotic small subunit ribosomal RNA", at positions 1691 to 1831 of the family's 1831-position model. Lineage: Eukaryota; Fungi; Ascomycota; Sordariomycetes; Togniniales; Togniniaceae. The record is from RNAcentral.
GAAUGGCUCAGUGAGGCUUUCGGACUGGCCCAGAGAGGUCGGCAACGACCACUCAGGGCCGGAAAGUUAUCCAAACUCGGUCAUUUAGAGGAAGUAAAAGUCGUAACAAGGUCUCCGUUGGUGAACCAGCGGAGGGAUCAUUA